This is a non-coding RNA of Cuculus canorus (common cuckoo), 1886 nucleotides long. Lineage: Eukaryota; Metazoa; Chordata; Aves; Cuculiformes; Cuculidae. The record is from the annotation of a RefSeq genome assembly.
UGCAGCUGUCCUGGGAAGUGCCUCCAGUGCCCUUGUCUUUGCUGAUCUUCACAUUCCCCUACACACUCUGUACUGGAGCAACUUGCUGUCCUUCAGAAAUAAACCCUUCCACUGCCCCCCUGCAGCUUUGAUGCAUUCAGUACCAUGGGGCAGUUUUUCCAGAUGCAGCUGCCCAUGGCUACUGGCCAUGGCUCCUGCAUUGGGUGACAGAGUGGAGAGGAAGCUGAAGGAGCAGCUAUGGUCAGCCCAAAGCCUGUUCCUUGCAUUACCAACCCUUCCACUCUGCAAAUCAAAUCGUCUCGCGGAGCCUCUCACAGGCUUUGGUUUCCUUUGCUGAUGCCUUUUCAUUUCCAUGUUUGUUCUAUUCCCGUUCCCCAAUGAAGGUUUCUUCUGAGUGCUGGGAUGAAAGGCCCCAGGAUUUCCAAAGCAGGAACACAGCCCUAUGGCAGAAAACUCAGCUCCAGUGCUGGUCAGGUCCAGAACAGGCAGUGCCGUCACCCUGGGUCACUCUGGUGGGUCUGUUGGAAGAGUUGAUCUCAGGCAGAAGCUCCAGCCAUUCUCAGCUGAAUGCCUUGGGCUCAGGCGCAUGAGGACAUGCCAAGUCCUUCUCUUCCCCUCCCUCCUAAGCUCACCCCGAUUUUGUCUUGUUGUUGCCUCCCCAGGUGACUGUGUUUGCUGCUGGCCAAGGAAGCCCAAGGAGGGAAAAUGUCUCCCUGGCCCUGGGGAUUGGCCAAAGGCUCAACAUGUGAGCAAGACAUGGUAUUUAUGCAGCAGAAUGAGUGUGCAACGCUGAUCAGUAGGGUGAGACAGUGGUGAUGCCCUUAGAGCCCUCACCUUGGAAAGGCAGAAGGUCUGGGCUGCAGGGAAACAUGGGUCACAGCUGCAGAAGGGAGGAGCCAAGCACAAGCAUUGCAGCUGUGCUGGGAACAAACAUUUUCUCCUCCCCAUUUCAUUCUCUGCUCUCCUUGCAGAGUCUUUGAUAGCAGCUCUGCUCUCUGAAGUCUCUGAGGGGAUUCGUGGGGGUUUCUCAGUCUUUCUCACUCCUGCAGGAUGAGUGGUCACAGCAGGCGCCUCACAUAUCUCCUCCUCACUGCCUUCCUGAGGCAGCCACUGGGCACCCUGGGGCAGAUCACCGUCACCCAGCAAGAAGGACCAGUCACACUGAAACAGGGAGACACCUUUCAAACAAACUGCACCUACCAGACAUCGAUGCCUCCAUAUCUGUUCUGGUACCAGCAGAGGAAAGGCCAGGCUCCCCAGCUGGUCUCCUAUCAGGCAGGAACUGGCUCCAAGCGGAACGGCCGUUUCACCACAUCCCUGAACCCCACAGAGAAAUCCAGCCUCCUGCAGCUGGAGGAAGUCGAAGGCUCUGACAGCGCCGUGUACCUCUGUGCUGUGCAGGACACGCUGGUGCAGGAGCUGCCUGGGCUGGGCAAAAACCUGGGGCAGGGAGGGGCUGGGGCUGGCAAGGCUGAGCCUGGGGGAAGGCUUUAUUCUGUGCUGCUUCUGCCCAAAGGCUUUGCAGAGGUGGCUUUUGGUAUCCAUCAGGCAGCAACCUGAGAAAUGGGCAACUUUUCCCUGCUGCUCUCUUCUGGCCAUGGCCACAGGACUGUGGGAUUGUGAGGAGAGUUGAACAUGAAGCAGAAAAAUGAAACGUGAAGCAGAAGAUAGGGAACAUUCCAACGACUGCUUCUUUUCCACUCCUGAGAAUGUUGGCAACUCAGCGGUGAGGGAUGAUGCCCAAACAAGUGGGCCCAAAGCGCGUUUGCUGCUGGGUUUUGUCCCAGUCCUGCCUAACACGGCCCUCGGGAGAAAUUGUGGACAGUUUUGCCUCAUCCCCUCUCUGUGUACGCUCUGAGCACAAUGCCAUAGCAAUGCCUGGGCCA